RNAcentral lists this ribosomal RNA (611 nucleotides) under Penicillium sp. 1 JJK-2011. Its description in RNAcentral is "eukaryotic LSU rRNA". It matches the Rfam family "Eukaryotic large subunit ribosomal RNA", at positions 1 to 626 of the family's 3401-position model. Lineage: Eukaryota; Fungi; Ascomycota; Eurotiomycetes; Eurotiales; Aspergillaceae. The record is from RNAcentral.
UUGACCUCGGAUCAGGUAGGGAUACCCGCUGAACUUAAGCAUAUCAAUAAGCGGAGGAAAAGAAACCAACAGGGAUUGCCCCAGUAACGGCGAGUGAAGCGGCAAGAGCUCAAAUUUGAAAGCUGGCUCCUUCGGGGUCCGCAUUGUAAUUUGCAGAGGAUGCUUCGGGAGCGGCCCCCAUCUAAGUGCCCUGGAACGGGCUGUCAUAGAGGGUGAGAAUCCCGUCUGGGAUGGGGUGCCCGCGCCCGUGUGAAGCUCCUUCGACGAGUCGAGUUGUUUGGGAAUGCAGCUCUAAAUGGGUGGUAAAUUUCAUCUAAAGCUAAAUAUUGGCCGGAGACCGAUAGCGCACAAGUAGAGUGAUCGAAAGAUGAAAAGCACUUUGAAAAGAGAGUUAAAAAGCACGUGAAAUUGUUGAAAGGGAAGCGUUUGCGACCAGACUCGCCUACGGGGUUCAGCCUGCCUUCGGGCAGGUGUACUUCCCCGUGGGCGGGCCAGCGUCGGUUUGGGCGGCCGGUCAAAGGCCCUCGGAAUGUAACGCCUCUCGGGGCGUCUUAUAGCCGAGGGUGCCAUGCGGCCUGCCCGGACCGAGGAACGCGCUUCGGCUCGGACGC